UCAUUGCAAGCAAAACCGUGAAGCCUUUACGAUUGCACUGUUUGAGACCUUCUGCUCCACGCAAUACAAGUCUCAAAUUUGCAUCACUCAGGAGAAGGAAAUCUAUCUGUGUUUAAGUUUCUUAAAUUUAUGUUGUGAUGUACCAACGCCUUCUGUCUACCUUCAUAUGUAACUCUUUGUUUUUGUUCGGUUUCAGCAUUUGCACGGCAGGAAAAAUAAAGGGUUACGUAAGGGAGAUGAGAAAGCGGAUAUUAGUCGCGGAGCGUAGAUGUGUGGUUAUAAUUUGAAGAAUUUGAGAGUGGUCAUAAAAGGAAAAGGAAAUGAGAAGUAAGAAGGAGGUCAGAAAGGUUUGACCCAAUUCACUUGAGUAACUCUUAACGCAAACAAGGGGUUGUGAGUUCAAGUCUCAUAGCCUAUAGGUGUUUCCAUUGUCGCAAUUGCUCAGCCCAACAUGUGUGAAUGUCACUCUACAUUAUGUUCUGACACUGGGCAUCGACUCAGAUCUCAACUGGUUCAUGGGGGUUGCAUGGUCUUACAUAUUACCCGCAGUUUACCAGGUAGUUGUCCGGUGAGCAGUUGAGUGAUUUCCACGUUACAAGGUUGGGCUCACACAUAUAAACACAUCGUUGGCCUACACGAAAUUGAUGUCUGACUUUUUACAAAUCUUUAACAUUCAUUCGCACUUCUGAGCUCGGUUAUGCAAAGCCUAACAAAUGGAUUAUAUGGAAAGUCAUUAGGAUCAAGUGUAUACUUUCAAUACCAUGUUAUAAUUUGAAUAAUUUGAUAGAUUAGAAAAAGUAGGUGAGAGAGGUUUGACUCAAUUCAAUUGAGGUAUUGUUUAUGCUAUGGGCCCAAGGCAGGUUUUGUCCUUUAAAAGAUACAUCAGUUGUUAAAAGAUUGGGCUCACACUUAUAAAUCACUUGCAUUGUUGAUUUACACUAAAUCGAUGUGAGAUUUUUUACAAAUUUUAACAAUAUCAGAGACAACGGGGGUUAAAGAAAAGUGAGGGAGAGGUUUGAGCCUUGAGAGAUUCAGUAAGUAACCAUCCAAAAGCGUCUAAAUUUGAUGUUCAAAAUCAUUAAAGCGAGGGCUUAAAAAGACUCUGCUUUGGUCACUCAACUCAUUCGCUCUCUCCUGUUACUUUUCCCUUGCUAACUUCAUAUGAAGCUUUCUCAUUCAAAAUUUUUUUCUACUUUCAAGUCUCAAGCCAAGUAGAAGGAAUCUAUUGAAAAAAAAAGGUUCUCAAUUACAGUAAGUUCACAAAAUCCUAAUACCUAAAAAAAUUAAAAAGAAAAAUUACAUGAACAAUUCAAAUUAGCGUAAUAGAUGGAACUCUUAGAGCUUUAGGGUUUUAGACGAUGGGGAUUGGUUCUUCAUCUAGUGAAAUAUUCCCACAAUUCCAUGGACGUAGAUUUGUUCUGGUCAAACCACGUAAAUAUCCGUGUGCUCAUAUUUUCUCUACUUGCUUUUAUUUCUCUUAUUAUUGUGUGAUAAUUACUUGUUGGAUAGGACAACUUUCAAUCGAUUGGUUUAUUUUCAGUCGUUGUUCUCCGAGGUGCUAUCUUGUGGUGUGUUUCGCUGCACUGUGCCCCAACAAUGGAUAUUAGGGUGGAGAUGGAACUUUUGAUGGUACACAAACAAGUAUGUUUACAAACAUAGUCAUUAUCAUGAACUCAAUUUUGUUUUAGAUGGACUUGACUAUUUUAUGUUGGGUAUACACAUAUAUUAAAGUCUUAUAUUGAUUAACCAUGAGAAGCGCAGCGGUUCCACUGCCGUCGCUAUGGUGUUUGGUAUGGCGUUGGACUUCAACGGGCCGCACAACAGAACCGCUUAGUCCAACGCCUUACCAAACAUGCGGAUAUGCUAUCUGGCAUAAACCGCCAGAGCAUGUAUGUGUAUAAAAAAAAA
Tripterygium wilfordii is the source of this 1908-nucleotide long non-coding RNA. RefSeq lists it as uncharacterized. The record is from RefSeq and is a predicted model, not a curated record. Lineage: Eukaryota; Viridiplantae; Streptophyta; Magnoliopsida; Celastrales; Celastraceae. The transcript is spliced from 2 exons.